RNAcentral lists this transfer RNA (72 nucleotides) under Camelus bactrianus (Bactrian camel). It matches the Rfam family "tRNA". From Rfam's summary of the family: Transfer RNA (tRNA) molecules are approximately 80 nucleotides in length. The record is from Rfam by way of RNAcentral. Lineage: Eukaryota; Metazoa; Chordata; Mammalia; Artiodactyla; Camelidae. RNAcentral also lists the same sequence under 2 other names.
GAGGGUAUAGCUCAGUGGUAGAGCACAUGCUUAGCAUGCAUGAGGUCCUGGGUUCGAUCCCCAGUACUUCCA